This is a long non-coding RNA of Bos taurus (domestic cattle), 2273 nucleotides long. NCBI's taxonomy places the organism in Eukaryota, Metazoa, Chordata, Mammalia, Artiodactyla, Bovidae. The record is from Ensembl.
GUUCUGUAACAAUAUGAUACAAAGCAGACCUUGAGAAAUUCCAAUAUGGUCUAUAAGAGGUACACAGAGAGAAACAUUGUUGUUCAGAAGAAGCAAUAUUCUUUUCCAGCUGAGAGGUAACAGGAGGAAAGCCUCAAAGAAGGACUAUCUGAGGCACUAUUCUUCCGGAGAGCAGAAAACGAUCUAGACUUUUCCAUAUAUGUGUUAAACAGCUUAUAGCCAGUAAGAAAAAAUAAUAAUUUAAUACUCUAAAAACGUCAAGACCAAGAUGGCAAGUUAGAAGUAUUCAGCUGGAUGAUCAAAGGAGCACCUGAAUCAUGAACACACCCAUCUGACUGCCACUAACCACUGCACUUGUUCAGUUCCUAAGGGAAAUACUGGGUAGAGCACAACAUUUGUGAAAAGUGGAUUUGGGAGGUAACUAUGGAAAGAUGUGUUCAGGAUAGAAUCCUUUCUGAUAAUUUUUAACUCCAAUUUCUGAGAGAAAGGAGACUGGACAAUGUCAGACCUGGCUAUGGGAUUUGUGAAGCAGAAAGGAGAUCCUAUUCAAGCAAAGCGAAAUAGGGGAGGAGGGUGAAGGGAAUUAGGAAACUAACUAAGGCAUGGAAAAUCCCUGGUUGCCUAGUGGUUAGGAUUCCAGGCUUUCACUGCCAUGGGCUGGGUUAAAUCCGAUGCACUGAGAAUUGCAUACACGGUCCGGGAACUGAGAUGCAUGAUAAAAAAAAAAAAAAAAGGAAAGAAAGAAAGAAGAAACUAAACAGGGCAGGAAGUGAAGUGAAGUGAAAGUCACUCAGUCGUGUCCAACUCUUUGCAACCCCAUGGACUAUAUAGUCCAUGGAAUUCUCCAGACCAGAAUACUGGAGUGGAUAGCCUUUCCAAAAUCACUGUAGAUGGUGACUGCAGCCAUGAAAUUAAAAGAUGCUUACUCCUUGGAAGGAAAGUUAUGACCAACCUAGACAGCAUAUUAAAAAGCAGAGACAUUACUUUGCCAACAAAAAUCCGUCUAGUCAAGGCUAUGGUUUUUCCAGUGGUCAUGUAUGGAUGUGAGAGUUGGACUAUAAAGAAAGCUGAGUACUGAAGAAUUGAUGCUUUUGAACUGUGUUGUUGGAGAAGACUUUUGAGAGUCCCUCGGACUGCAAGAAGAUCCAACCAGACCAUCCUAAAGGAGAUCAGUCCUGAGUGUUCAUUGGAGGGACUGAUGCUGAAGCUUAAACUUCAAUACUUUGGCUACAUGUUGCGAAGGACUGACUGAUUGGAAAAGACCCUGAUGCUGGGAAAGAUUGAAGGUGGGAGGAGAAGGGGACGACUGAGGAUGAGAUGGUUGGAUGGCAUCACUGACUCAAUGGAGAUGAGUUUGGGUAAACUCCAGGUGUUGGUGAUGGACAGGGAGGCCUGGUGUGCAGUCCUUGGGGUUGCAAAGAUUCAGACACAACUGAGCAACUGAACUGAACUGAGCCUUUCCCCUUCUCCAGGGGAUCUUCCCAACCCAGGGAUUGAACCCAGGUCUCCCACAUUUCAGGCGUAUUCUUUACCAGCUGAGCCACAAGGGAAGCCCAAACAGGGCAGUAAUAGAGUAGCAAAGGGAAGGUGAGAUGUAGAGAGUUGGAGGAGGCCUUUUCAGGGCCUCGUGUGUCAAAGGAGACUAGCUGUGCCUAUUCCCUUCACAUGAGUCUUUUUCACCCCACAUUCUAUAAGGAAUGAAAAGUAUAAAUGGAGAUACAUAAAUAAAAAUGAGCUCUUUGUUAUGCUGCUCUGCAUGGAGCACAAUAUCUAUGUUGGAUUUGUGUAUUUGAAAAUCGAGGCUUUUCAAGUAGUGAUGAUUUAAAAAUCAAUGAAUCAUUUAUGCCUCUGCUCAGUCUGUCUUCCAGCCUCUGGCUGCUGACUCACCUACGAGAAUCUUCUUCCCCAGCCUCAUCUAUGUUAGGCAGGCUUGUUUUUGCCUUUGCAGGCCCUACACACUCUUUCUGGUGAAGGCUUCAGCCGGCAUCAUAUUAAACAUAUUAAAAUGCGUCCUCAUCCUGCAUUAAAAAUUUAUAUUUUUGCUAUAAAUUUUUGAAAGGGCUUUUGUAAUUUUGCUCUUGAAAUUAUGUGUCUGUGCAUAACUAAUUUAAUUUAUAAUGGCUGUGAUUUCUCCAUAAUCAUUGUGCAUACUUGGAAAUUCUUGGGAAGUCAGAAGAUCUAACCUAAAAAUUGCUUUCAAAGACAAUAAACUUUUUUAAUAAAUGUAAAAUUAAAUAAUUAAUGAACUUGAUAGAAUGUUAUAUUUUGUGUCC